Molecule: microRNA precursor, 98 nt
Organism: Caenorhabditis elegans
Lineage: Eukaryota; Metazoa; Nematoda; Chromadorea; Rhabditida; Rhabditidae
Source: Ensembl
UAAACAGUAUACAGAAAGCCAUCAAAGCGGUGGUUGAUGUGUUGCAAAUUAUGACUUUCAUAUCACAGCCAGCUUUGAUGUGCUGCCUGUUGCACUGU